RNAcentral lists this ribosomal RNA (464 nucleotides) under Vreelandella stevensii. Its description in RNAcentral is "partial 16S ribosomal RNA". It matches the Rfam family "Bacterial small subunit ribosomal RNA", at positions 338 to 794 of the family's 1533-position model. The record is from RNAcentral. Lineage: Bacteria; Pseudomonadati; Pseudomonadota; Gammaproteobacteria; Oceanospirillales; Halomonadaceae.
CCUACGGGUGGCAGCAGUGGGGAAUAUUGGACAAUGGGCGAAAGCCUGAUCCAGCCAUGCCGCGUGUGUGAAGAAGGCCUUCGGGUUGUAAAGCACUUUCAGUGGGGAAGAAAGCCUUGGGGCUAAUACCCUCGAGGAAGGACAUCACCCACAGAAGAAGCACCGGCUAACUCCGUGCCAGCAGCCGCGGUAAUACGGAGGGUGCGAGCGUUAAUCGGAAUUACUGGGUGUAAAGCGCGCGUAGGUGGUCUGAUAAGCCGGUUGUGAAAGCCCCGGGCUCAACCUGGGAACGGCAUCCGGAACUGUCAGGCUAGAGUGCAGGAGAGGAAGGUAGAAUUCCCGGUGUAGCGGUGAAAUGCGUAGAGAUCGGGAGGAAUACCAGUGGCGAAGGCGGCCUUCUGGACUGACACUGACGCUGAGGUGCGAAAGCGUGGGUAGCAAACAGGAUUAGAUACCCCGGUAGU